AUACGUAGGGGGCAAGCGUUAUCCGGAUUUACUGGGUGUAAAGGCAGCGUAGACGGCAAAGCAAGUCUGAAGUGAAAGCCCCGGGCUCAACCCGGGAAUUGCUUUGGAAACUGUUUAGCUGGAGUGCAGGAGAGGUAAGCGGAAUUCCUAGUGUAGCGGUGAAAUGCGUAGAUAUUAGGAGGAACACCGGCGGCGAAGGCGGCUUACUGGACUGUAACUGACGUUGAGGCUCGAAAGCGUGGGGAGCAAACAGGAUUAGAUACCCUGGUAGUCCACGUCGUAAACGAUGAUUACUAGGUGUUGGUUGUCAUAGACAAUCGGUGCCGCAGCAAACGCAAUAAGUAAUCCACCUGGGGAGUACGUUCGCAAGAAUGAAACUCAAAGGAAUUGACGGGG
This 396-nucleotide ribosomal RNA is filed under the name uncultured bacterium. RNAcentral describes it as "partial 16S ribosomal RNA". It matches the Rfam family "Bacterial small subunit ribosomal RNA", at positions 523 to 918 of the family's 1533-position model. The record is from RNAcentral.